RNAcentral lists this transfer RNA (57 nucleotides) under Peripatoides sympatrica. RNAcentral describes it as "tRNA-Leu". RNAcentral also lists the same sequence under 1 other name. The record is from RNAcentral. Lineage: Eukaryota; Metazoa; Onychophora; Udeonychophora; Euonychophora; Peripatopsidae.
AAUUGAAUGGCAGAGUUAUGCAACGAAUUUAAGUUUCGUAUAUAAAGAUUACUUUUU